Molecule: ribosomal RNA, 497 nt
Filed under: uncultured bacterium
Lineage: Bacteria
Description: partial 16S ribosomal RNA
Rfam family: Bacterial small subunit ribosomal RNA
Source: RNAcentral
GAUGAACGCUGGCGGCGUGCCUAAUACAUGCAAGUCGAGCGAACGGACGAGAAGCUUGCUUCUCUGAUGUUAGCGGCGGACGGGUGAGUAACACGUGGAUAACCUACCUAUAAGACUGGGAUUACUUCGGGAAACCGGAGCUAAUACCGGAUAAUAUUCUGAACCGCAUGGUUCAAAAGUGAAAGACGGUCUUGCUGUCACUGAUAGAUGGAUCCGCGCUGCAUUAGCUAGUUGGUAAGGUAACGGCUUACCAAGGCAACGAUGCAUAGCCGACCUGAGAGGGUGAUCGGCCACACUGGAACUGAGACACGGUCCAGACUCCUACGGGAGGCAGCAGUAGGGAAUCUUCCGCAAUGGGCGAAAGCCUGACGGAGCAACGCCGCGUGAGUGAUGAAGGUCUUCGGAUCGUAAAACUCUGUUAUUAGGGAAGAACAUAUGUGUAAGUAACUGUGCACAUCUUGACGGUACCUAAUCAGAAAGCCACGGCUAACUACGUG